RNAcentral lists this ribosomal RNA (527 nucleotides) under uncultured bacterium. Its description in RNAcentral is "partial 16S ribosomal RNA". It matches the Rfam family "Bacterial small subunit ribosomal RNA", at positions 356 to 900 of the family's 1533-position model. The record is from RNAcentral.
GGGGAAUAUUGGACAAUGGGGGCAACCCUGAUCCAGCAAUGCCGCGUGUGUGAAGAAGGUCUUCGGAUUGUAAAGCACUUUCGACGGGGACGAUGAUGACGGUACCCGUAGAAGAAGCCCCGGCUAACUUCGUGCCAGCAGCCGCGGUAAUACGAAGGGGGCUAGCGUUGCUCGGAAUGACUGGGCGUAAAGGGCGUGUAGGCGGUUUACACAGUCAGAUGUGAAAUCCCCGGGCUUAACCUGGGAGCUGCAUUUGAUACGUGUAGACUAGAGUGUGAGAGAGGGUUGUGGAAUUCCCAGUGUAGAGGUGAAAUUCGUAGAUAUUGGGAAGAACACCGGUGGCGAAGGCGGCAACCUGGCUCAUGACUGACGCUGAGGCGCGAAAGCGUGGGGAGCAAACAGGAUUAGAUACCCUGGUAGUCCACGCUGUAAACGAUGUGUGCUAGAUGUUGGGUAACUUUGUUAUUCAGUGUCGCAGUUAACGCGUUAAGCACACCGCCUGGGGAGUACGGCCGCAAGGUUGAAAC